RNAcentral lists this small nuclear RNA (50 nucleotides) under Rhinopithecus bieti (black snub-nosed monkey). Its description in RNAcentral is "U7 small nuclear RNA (ENSRBIG00000001894.1)". It matches the Rfam family "U7 small nuclear RNA". From Rfam's summary of the family: Animal histone pre-mRNAs are spliced by a different mechanism than nuclear pre-mRNAs and self-splicing introns. This processing involves the U7 snRNP, which contains only one RNA species: U7. The 5' end of U7 RNA is thought to base-pair to a conserved spacer element downstream of the cleavage site in histone pre-mRNA. RNAcentral also lists the same sequence under 1 other name. Lineage: Eukaryota; Metazoa; Chordata; Mammalia; Primates; Cercopithecidae. The record is from Rfam by way of RNAcentral.
CAGUGUUACAGCUUUUAGAAUUUGUCUAGCAGGCUUUCUAGAAAACCUUC